Molecule: long non-coding RNA, 1183 nt
Filed under: Vulpes vulpes (red fox)
Lineage: Eukaryota; Metazoa; Chordata; Mammalia; Carnivora; Canidae
Description: lncRNA (ENSVVUG00000010129.1)
Source: RNAcentral
AUUGUCAUAGCAGGCCUCUCUACUCAAUGACUUUGAUUCUUUAAUGUGACUAAUAAUUACAGUGUUGAUUCUAUGUUAGGCAGUGCCUGGACCUCCAGCCUUCCAUCUGGUGAGAUUCACUCUGGGAGCUCCUGCUGACUCGACUGCAAAAGAAAGAAGUAUCAUCAAUGGAGAUUAAUCCUUCCAUCAGCCUGGAGAGAAAGGGCCGAAGACUGCAUGUGGAUUUGCUCAGCAUGCUACUGCCUUUAUUAAACAACCAACAGGACAAAAGGAAACAAGGCCUCUCCUCCUCCAAAAGAGUUCAGUGCCAAAAAUGUAUUAUCCAGUCAAGAGCCACAAAUUCAGGAGAGGAUGGGGCCCUAAAAAGACCAACAUAAGCAAGUUAUAGAAGAUAAGAACUCUGAAAGUACGUGAAAGAAUUUCAUGCUUUGAAACUCACGUAGAAUAAGGUAAGGGUGUAAGAAAUCAAAAUCAAACAAACAAAAAAUCAAGGAAACAUUAAAACAUUGUAUUUACUCAAUAUGAAAAAAAAGCAAGGCUAAUUCAUUAAAGAUUUGCAAACACAGGGGAGUGCCUACAGCUUGAUGGAGUAGGCUGUCUUUUUUCCACCAUGAGAAGAACCAUAGGAUAGGGACUAAACUGUAGCAGGGAAGAGUCAGGUAUAAAUCAAGUCACUUCCUUGAGUGAUGUUAUGUUAUUAGAUACUGAUAGUAUCAGAUGGAGAUUACAGAAUUUUCUAAAGAGUUGUGCAGGUAGGGGGAAGAGGAAGUUAGAGAAUCAUUUGUGUCUAUAUUUGUCUGGGAUAUUUUUCCCCCAAAGAAACAAUCUCCCAAACAAAGAACUUUGCUAAUUGUCAGUAAGGAAUCCAGACACAAUAUUAGCUUCUUUGGAAGCUGGCUCUUUGGAAGAGGUUUAGAGAAGGAGGAAGGUGAGUUCUGGGUGUAUGGUCCUGUGAGCACAGAUCUGAAUGCUGCAAUUCAGACUGGCCACAUUUCAAAUUUUUAACAGCCCACGUGUUGCUAGUGGCUACUGUGUGGACAGUGUAGCUCUGUGGUUUGCCUGUAUUUAUAUUUUAAUUUUUAUAACAUGUUGGCUCAAGAGUAAAAUUAUGUUCUUUCGACAAACUAGCUAACUCAUUCUUUCAUUAAAUAAAAUGUCUCUAGUUCUCUAUUUAGCUAUUUGA